Molecule: ribosomal RNA, 180 nt
Filed under: Triticum aestivum (bread wheat)
Lineage: Eukaryota; Viridiplantae; Streptophyta; Magnoliopsida; Poales; Poaceae
Description: partial small subunit ribosomal RNA
Source: RNAcentral
AAGACGCUCACCUCACUAAUGAUGCUAAUCUCCUGGGAAAUUUGGACGGAGCGCAAUGCUAGAGUUUUUCGCAACACGGCCGCACCUACGAUGGUCGUCAUUAGUAAGAUAAAAGAGGAGUUGUCGCUUUGAGCGUUGGCGGGCGCUAAUCAUUUGAGUGUUGUAUUGCCGCGAGAGUAG